RNAcentral lists this long non-coding RNA (8204 nucleotides) under Lactuca sativa (garden lettuce). Its description in RNAcentral is "long non-coding RNA (LSAT_LNC009118)". Lineage: Eukaryota; Viridiplantae; Streptophyta; Magnoliopsida; Asterales; Asteraceae. The record is from RNAcentral.
ACACAUAACACAACCAAAUAUAUACACAUAGCACGUAUUUUUAUAUAAAAUACUUCGUAUUAUUGUAUUAGAAGAAAUAACUACACACUCACUUGAUCAGAAGACGAUCCGACAGCACUACGGCUUAUAGAAGUAGUAAUCCACAGCAGAUCUGGAAGAUCUCCUCGAAAAUCGAACUUCUCGCGGGCAGAGCUUCGACUCGGGAACCGCGCUUCUCGGGAUCUUCGGGAUCUCGGGACUUGCCUCGGGGCUAGAGUAUGAUACCGGGACUUCGGGGUAGCUUCGGCACGAAAAACGAUGCAAAAGACUAGAGAGAAGAGAAGAAAAUGAACAAGAAAUGAGGCUGCCUUCGGAUCCUUUAUAUAGAGGCUGGAACCUCGGAGUACGCGGGGCGUACAGGCGUACGCAGCGCGUACGCGUCCGAAAUCGUCAUUGCAUGCGUCAUCCGAAGUGUCGACACUAUCGGAGUUACGCGAUAGCGUAACCUCGUACGCGGGGCGUACUCCGGAUUACACCGGUGACACGGCUUCGGAUAAUGCCUCCGAUUUUGAAUUAAAUAAAAAUAUAAAAUGAUUAAUAAACUUCGGAAAUUCAUAACUUCUUCAUACGAACUCCGUUUUCGACGUUCUUUAUAUCCACGCGAAGGUGAGACCACGCUCUACGACUUUCGUUUAGACUCCGUCGGCUAAUUUUGACUUUAUUUUUAUUAAUUAUUUUUAAUAGGCCGCGACAGAAACUUUCGUUAUAAAUUCAUAACUUCUUCGUUUGACGUCCGUUCUCGCCUAACUUUUUAUCGCUUCGAUACCAACAAUGAGAUCUUCGAUUCUCAUUUAGAUUGCUUCGGCUAACAACCGCUCGAUCUCAAAUCGAGUAUAACAGGCUGUAUACCGCUAAGCCGGAACUUCGAUAAAUCAUAACUUCCUCAUACGAAGUCAGAUUUGGGCGUUCUAUAUAUAUUCGGAAACCUCGUUUCAACUACUACAACAUUAACCAAAGAUAUUAAGUUUAUUUUACACUUAAAUUUUGACGCUUAUUUUUAUUCUUAAUUAAUCAAACCACAUAAUUAAGCAAUUAAGCACAAAACACAUAAUACUCAAAUAAUACAAUCUUAUUAUUUCAAAACGGGUUACAAAGGUUAACCUAGACUAUUAUAUUGCUAAAAAUGGCAAGCCCGGAAACACAGGCGUUACAGUUCUCUCCACCUUAGAAUGAUUCCGUCCCCGGAAUCACACAUCAACAAACAAAUGCGGAUAGCGACUCAACAUGUCACUCUCCGUCUCCCAGGUGAGAUUCGGCCCAUUCGUGUGUUUCCAUCGGACAAGCACUAACCCAACCAUUUUGCGUCGCAACUUCUUAGUCUUUCGGUCAACAAUUGCCUCUGGUUCUUCAAUCAACCUUUUGUUCUCAUCAAUUCUCAAUUCAGAAAUUGGAAUUAUAUCGGGAACUUCUCCCGUGAACUUCCUCAAAUAACACACAUGAAAAGUGUUGUGAAUUCCAUUCAGUUCUUCGGGUAAUUCGAGCUUGUAAGCUUGAUUCCCAAUCCUCUGAAGGACUUUAAACGGUCCAAUAAACCUUGGACUCAACUUUCCCCUUUUACCAAAUCUUAUAAGUCCCUUCCACGGCGAGACUUUAAGCAAAACCGAAUCUCCAACCUCAAAAGUCAUCGGUCUUCGCUUCUUGUCAGCAUAGCUCUUUUGACGAUCUUGAGCUGCUAACAUUCUUUCCCUAAUUAUUUUCAACUUUUCAGCAGUUUGAUGAACCAUCUCCGGUCCCAUAAACUGCUUUUCCCCAGCCUCAAGCCAACAAGACGGCGUACGACACUUCUGUCCAUACAAAGCUUGAUAAGGUGCCAUCUUAAUGCUCGAGUGAAAACUAUUAUUAUAGGAAAAUUCUACCAACGGUAAAUGUUCAUCCCAAUUACCUAGGAAUUCCAAGGUACAUGCUCUCAGCAUAUCUUCAAGUGUUUGUAUUGUUCUUUCACUCUGACCAUCAGUCUGCGGAUGGUAAGCUGUGCUUAAACAUAACUUGGUACCCAUUUCCUCUUGUAGACUUUUCCAAAACCUUGAGGUGAAACGGCUAUCACGAUCCGAUACAAUCGUUAACGGAACACCGUGAAGCCUCACAAUUUCCUUCACGUAAGAAUUCGCAAGCUUUUCCAUAGACCAUUUCUCCCUGGCCGCUAUGAAAUGCGCACUCUUAGUGAAUCGAUCAACGACCACCCAAAUCAUGUCGUGACCAUUCUUUGUUCUGGGCAGUUUAGUGACAAAAUCCAUAGCAAUGUCUUCCCACUUACCCAUAGGCACAGGCAAAGGUUCUAAACUCCCGUACGGUUUCUGAUGUUGUGUCUUGACUCUCGCACAAGUCACACACUCGGCCACAUACUUUGCAACAUCAAGCUUCAUCGUCGGCCACCAGUAGUAGGGUUUCAGGUCCCUAUACAUUUUAGUGCUACCCGGAUGAAUCGAGUACAUGGUCUUGUGAGCUUCUUCCAUCAGAAGAUCUCUAAUUCCUCCUGACUUAGGUACCCAAAUACGAUCUUGGAAUACCUUCAGUCCAUGACCGUUAGUACCAAACACCAACGUUUUACCCAAACGUUCCUCCUUUCGGUCAUUUUUCUCAGAAGCUUCCUCUUGAGCUUUCUUUAUACUUUCCACAAUGGUCGAGACAACUUCAAUUCUCAACGCUCUUGGCCUCUUCCUUUCAAGAUUGACCUUCCGACUGAGAGCAUCAGCAACAACAUUAGCUUUACCGGGGUGGUAAAGUAUCUCGCAGUCGUAGUCUUUAAGUAAUUCUAGCCAGCGUCGUUGCCUCAUAUUCAAUUCUUUCUGAUUAAAGAGGUAUUGGAGACUCUUAUGAUCAGUGAAAAGUUUGCACUUCGUGCCAUAGAGGUAAUGCCUCCAUAUUUUCAGAGCGAAAACUACCGCUGCCAACUCCAAAUCAUGAGUCGGGUAAUUCUUUUCAUGCUCUUUCAGCUGUCGAGACGCAUAUGCUAUCACCUUUUCUCUUUGGGUCAAAACACAACCCAAUCCAACACCAGACGCAUCGCUAUAAACAGCGAAGUCUUCAACUCCAUCGGGUAGAGAAAGUAUCGGUGCCUCGCAUAGCUUCUUCUUUAACUUCUCGAAUGCUUCUUUAUGCUUCUCACUCCAAGCAUAAGUAGCUCCUUUGUGGGUCAAAGCUGUUAAUGGAGUAGCAAUCGAAGAAAAGCCUUGGAUAAACCUUCGGUAAUAUCCGGCUAAUCCUAAAAAGCUUCGAAUCUCCGUGGGACUUUUCGGUUGUUCCCACUUCGUCACAGCUUCGAUCUUCGCUGGAUCAACCAUUAUCCCUUCUUGGUUGACCACGUGACCCAAGAAUUGGACUUCACGAAUCCAAAAAUCACAUUUGGAGAACUUCGCAUAAAGCUUCUCCUUCUUCAAAACUUCUAACACUUCUCGCAAGUGUCUGCCAUGCUCCUCCUGGCUUUUCGAGUAGAUCAGAAUGUCGUCUAUGAACACUAUCACGGAUUUAUCAAGGAAAGGAUUACAAACCCUAUUCAUCAAAUCCAUGAACGCUGCUGGAGCAUUGGUUAGUCCAAACGACAUAACCAAGAACUCGUAGUGUCCAUAUCUAGUUCUGAAUGCAGUCUUCUCGAUAUCUUGCUCUCUUACUUUCAGCUGAUGAUAUCCUGACCUAAGAUCGAUCUUCGAGAAAUAGCUCGAACCUUGCAAUUGAUCAAACAGGUCAUCAAUCCUCGGCAACGGAUAUCUAUUCUUUAUUGUUGCCUUGUUCAGCUCUCUGUAAUCGAUGCACAUUCUCAUACUUCCAUCUUUCUUCUUUACAAAUAACACCGGAGCUCCCCAGGGCGAUGAACUAGGUCUAAUGAAACCUUUGUCCAAUAACUCCUGAAGUUGCAUCAUUAGCUCCUUCAUCUCCGUCGGUGCUAAUCGAUAAGGUGCUUUUGCUAUUGGCGUGGUUCCUGGUAACAAGUCUAUUCUGAACUCCACUUGUCUAUCAGGUGGUAAUCCAGGAAGAUCCUCGGGAAAUACUUCCGGAUAAUCACACACCACUGGAAUGCUCUGCAUCACCUUCUUUUCUUUCUUAGCAUCAAUCACGAAUGCUAAAUAUGAUGUACAUCCCUUGGUCAAACACUUUCUGGCUUUCAUUAGAGAAAUGAUUCCAGAAUUCACUCUGCGUUUGUCCCCAUACACCAUAAACGAAUCUUUUCCAGGCGGGUUUACUUUAACUAUCUUCUUCUUGCACAAAAUUUCGGCAUCAUUGGCGCUAAGCCAAUCCAUUCCCAAGACGAUGUCGAAACCAUUUAGUUCGAUAGGCAAUAAUUCCUCGAGAAACUUAUUCCCAUUAAGGUCGAUCAAGACGUUUUUCAUACGAUGGCUAACAGGUACAAACUUGCCACUAGCUACUUCGACUAAUAAAGCAUUAUUUAGUCUAUCAACAGGCAAAGCUAGCUUUCUACCAAACUCAUGCGAAAUAAAGGAGUAGUUGGCUCCAGAAUCAAACAAUAUAUGAGCAGGUAAUUCGUUUACGAGAAAGGUACCUGAAGCGACAUCAGCUUCAUCUUUCGCAGCCUCAAGUGUCAUCUGGAAGGCUCUCGCCUUCGGCUUUGGUGGAAUGUUGGGCCUAGCUGCCUCCUUCUUCUUCGGACAGUCUUUCAAAAUAUGCCCCUCUUCAUUACAACCAAAACACAUCCUUUUGUUGUUCGGACAUUCAUUGGCAAAAUGUCCAACCUUUCCACACUUGUAGCAGGUCACAUCCUCGCUACAUUUCCCAAAGUGCUUUUUCUUACACUUAUCACACCACUUUGCUUCGCCUCCUUUUCCUCCAAACUUUUUCGAAUCAGAUUUCGAAAAUUUGCUCUUCUUACUGGAACCAGAUGUUCCUUCAAACUUCCUUUUCUCACCAACCUCAACCUUGACGGUGGUUCUCCCCUUGAUCAUGUUCUCCACAGACUUGGCAGCCCAGAUAGCUGCCUCUAGAGUAAGUGCCUGACGUACCGGCACCUCGUACUCCCAUGGAAGUCCCUUCGCAUACCGAUCCACCUUUGUCAGCUCGUCUGGAACGAUACGCAAGGCAAACUCCAUCUUAUCGGUGAAGUUAUUGGUGUAUUCAUCAACUGACAUGCUACCCUUCGUCAAUGUCAAAAACUUAUUCUCCAACUCCAACAGAUUUUGAGCCGAGCAGAACUUGCGCUUGAACUGCACCAAGAACUCUGCCCAUGACAAUUGCAGUGGCUCAUUAGGGCUUAAGGUCUUCCCUAGAGUGUUCCACCAACGAACGGCUCCACCUCGGAAUUGUCGCACGGCAUAGAUAGUCUGCAACUUACCUCUGCAGCCACAUGUCAUAAAGGCUAACUCCAUUUCGGAGAUCCAAUCCAUAACCCCAAUCGGAUCCUCCUUUCCAUUGAAGGUCGAUGGUUUGCAAGUCAAAAAGUCCUUGUACUUGCAUCCCAUUCCAUCAUUCCUUCCUUCAUGGUUAUCUUGCCUAACUAUCGGUGGGUUGGCUGGACCAACAGACCCACUGAAGUUUCCACCUUCCGAGUGCCCUUCAUUUAAUUCAGGCUCUUCCACACGAAUCGACAGUUCUUCACGAUUUUGUUGAAGCAACCGUCUAGUUUCAUCCAUCUGACGAUCCAACAUCGUCUGAAUCAUCAAUUGCACACCAGCCAUGGUUAUUGGCUCAGGUGCUGCUGCUACGACAGGUAUUGGCUCAAUCACUGGUGGUUGAUUCCUGUUUUCGUCAGCAUUUCCAACUCCACUUCUUGUUCUCACCAUUUUGAUCUACACCCCGAAUAAGGUGAAAUUAGAUCCUCAAUCAUGAUAGAUAUUCAAAUCAUCCUUAUCACUCCGAAACGUUUACAUGCUAGUUCUAAUAUCGUAGACGUACGCUUAGAAUCCUACACACAUAAGGUUUCUAGAUCCGGUCGGCAACAGACCAUAGAUCCGAACAAAUAAUAUCAUAUAUGGCAACAUAUAACAUUUAGCACAUAAAGCAUUUUAGGCAACUUUCCUAAAAUAAACUAGUGCUCGUGUCUAAAACACAACAGACACACAUCUCAAAACUUCACUUAGCAUUCUAAGUUUAAGUCUAGAAAUCCUACAAAUUCCUAGUUCGCUUAAACUAAUGCUCUGAUACCAACUGUGACAUCCCCAAAAUCUCGGCCAGAAAAGACCGAUUUUCAUUUAUGCUUUUAAAUAUUUUCAGAGUAAAUCCUUUUGAUUUGAAAGAGUUGCGGAAUUUGUUCCCAAAAACAAAACAUGAUAAAACAUUGUUUACCGAAGCAUUUCAUAAAAGAAAUGUAUUUUCAUUAUAAUCAAAACUCGGGGUGUCAUGUUCCGAUACAGACCAAUAAGCAUAAACGAAUACAUUACAAGUCAUAUAACAAAUAUAAACAUAUGCAGACUUGUAAACAAAACAACUUGAUGGUUCAUCCAUCUCAUGCCCUUCCGCCACUACCUGUAAUACAAUUUAAAACUGAGUGGGUCAGGCUUGGGAGCCUGGUGAGCAUAUAGGGUUUUCAACCCACAAUAAAUAUCAUAUUUAAUUUUCACCAACCAACAAUAACCCAAUUACCCAUUCCCGUUAUUCUCACUUUAAUGUCCCUAAAACAACUAACAUAAGGGACCUAGUCUAAGAAUAUUUCAUCGGGGCGACAACACAUGCUUCGGGGGUACCUCAGCAAUAUAAGUCAAAUAAGGCAACCAUGAGGGGGAUGGAGUACAGCGAAUGAACACCCAAGUUCAUUAACACCUACAGGUGGCGAACCUGCUAAUGUUUCCACAAGACUGUCUAGAAUAGCCAGUGGUCGUCAUCUAAACUCCGCUAGAUGACUCAAUCAAACAACAACGAGGCCUCUCAUCUGUUUAUUACACACCAACUGUCUACCCAUGUUCUACCCAACAUAUUAGUAGAUAAAAAUAUACAUUUGUAUACAUAGUUUAAAGAAAACCUGUAUAGCAUGCUUUAAUCAACACAUAUAUCACAUAACAGAUGAGGCACACACACACAUAACACAUAUCUCAUAAAGAAAUAAGCAGAUCUAUAAGAUAGAAGAGAGUGAAUACUCAUUCACACAUAACACAACCAAAUAUAUACACAUAGCACGUAUUUUUAUAUAAAAUACUUCGUAUUAUUGUAUUAGAAGAAAUAACUACACACUCACUUGAUCAGAAGAUGAUCGGACAGCACUACGGCUUAUAGAAGUAGUAAUCCACAGCAGAUCUGGAAGAUCUUCUCGAAAAUCGAACUUCUCGCGGGCAGAGCUUCGACUCGGGAACCGCACUUUUCGGGAUCUUCGGGAUCUCGGGACUUGCCUCGGGGCUAGAGUAUGAUACCGGGACUUCGGGGUAGCUUCGGGGGUUUUUGCACAGAGCUUCGACACGAAAACGAGAGGGAAUUGGCAAAAAUACCCGGAACCCUCGCAUCCUAUUUAUAGGAGGCUGGAGCCUCGGAGUACGCGGGGCGUACUGCGUUACGCGGGGCGUACUGCCCAAAACGUCAUUGCUUACGUAUCCGAAGUGCUCGAGUGCGAGUGUCGACAUCCCUCGGAGUACGCGGGGCGUACUCGAGUACGCGGGGCGUACCUCGGAUCAGAUCGGUGACUCCUUCGGAUAAUGCUUCCGAAUUUCCAAUUAAAUUUAAAUACAAAAUAUUAAAUAAACUUCGGAAAUUCAUAUCUUCUUCAUACGAACUCCGUUUUCGACGUUCUUUAUAUCCACGGAAAGGUGAGACCACGCUCUACGACUUUCGUUUAGACUCCGUCGGCUAAUUUUGACUUUAUUUUUAUUAAUUAUUUUUAAUAGGCCGCGACAGAAACUUUCGUUAUAAAUUCAUAACUUCUUCGUUUGAUGUCCGUUCUCGCCUAACUUUUUAUCGCUUUGAUACCAACAACGAGACCUUCGAUCCUCGUUUAGAUUGCUUCGGCUAAAAACCGCUCGAUCUCAAUUCGAGUAUUUCAGGCUGUAUACCGCUAAGCCGGAACUUCGAUAAAUCAUAACUUCCUCAUACGAAGUCAGAUUUGGGCGUUCUAUAUAUAUUCGGAAACCUCGUUUCAACUACUACAACAUAGAUCAAAGAUAUUAAGUUUAUUUUACACUUAAAUUUUGACGCUUAUUUUUAUUCUUAAUUAAUCAAACCACAUAAUUAAGCAAUUAAGCACAAAACACAUAAUACUCAAAUAAUACAAUCUUAUUAUUUCAAAACGGGUUACA